AGGGUUUGAUUAUGGCUCAGGAUGAACGCUGGCGGCAUGCCUAAUACAUGCAAGUCGAACGAACUACCUCUAUGACCUAAAAAGUGCUUGCACUGGAUAGUAAUUAGAAUUUGUAGUUAGUGGCGGACGGGUGAGUAACACGUGGGUUACCUGCCACACAGAAUGGAAUAACUAUUGGAAACGAUAGCUAAUACCGUAUAUGACCUUCGGGUUGAAAGGGGCGUUUGCCUCGCUGUGUGAUGGGCCUGCGGCGCAUUAGCUAGUUGGUAAGGUAAAGGCUUACCAAGGCGACGAUGCGUAGCCGGACUGAGAGGUCGAUCGGCCACAUUGGGACUGAGACACGGCCCAAACUUCUACGGGAGGCAGCAGUAGGGAAUUUUCCGCAAUGGACGAAAGUCUGACGGAGCAAUGCCGCGUGAGUGAUGAAGGUUUUCGAAUCGUAAAGCUCUGUUGUAAGGGAAGAACAGCACUAGUAGGAAAUGGCUAGUGUGUGACGGUACCUUACCAGAAAGCCACGGCUAACUACGUGCCAGCAGCCGCGGUAAU
Molecule: ribosomal RNA, 546 nt
Filed under: uncultured bacterium
Lineage: Bacteria
Description: bacterial SSU rRNA
Rfam family: Bacterial small subunit ribosomal RNA
Source: RNAcentral